UGGGGAAUCUUCCGCAAUGGACGAAAGUCUGACGGAGCAACGCCGCGUGAGUGAAGAAGGCCUUCGGGUUGUAAAGCUCUGUCUUUGGGGACGAACGUGCCUAUCAUAAAUAAUGAUAGGUAAUGACGGUACCGGGAGAAGAAGCUGCGGCUAACUACGUGCCAGCAGCCGCGGUAAUACGUAGGCAGCAAGCGUUGUUCGGAGUUACUGGGCGUAAAGAGUGCGUAGGCGGUUUUCUAAGUUCGGUGUGAAAUCUCCCGGCUUAACUGGGAGGGUGCGCCGAAGACUGGGAAGCUGGAGUGUGGGAAAGGCAGGCGGAAUUCCUGGUGUAGCGGUGAAAUGCGUAGAUAUCAGGAGGAACACCGGCGGUGUAGACGGCUUGCUAGACCAUAACUGACGCUGAGGCACGAAAGCGUGGGUAGCAAACA
This 428-nucleotide ribosomal RNA is filed under the name uncultured bacterium. Its description in RNAcentral is "bacterial SSU rRNA". It matches the Rfam family "Bacterial small subunit ribosomal RNA", at positions 355 to 774 of the family's 1533-position model. The record is from RNAcentral.